RNAcentral lists this ribosomal RNA (814 nucleotides) under uncultured bacterium. RNAcentral describes it as "bacterial SSU rRNA". It matches the Rfam family "Bacterial small subunit ribosomal RNA", at positions 35 to 879 of the family's 1533-position model. The record is from RNAcentral.
GCUGGCGGCAGGCCUAACACAUGCAAGUCGAACGGAGUUAUAUUGUAGCUUGCUAUGGUAUAACUUAGUGGCAGACGGGUGAGUAAUGUAUAGGAAUCUACCUAGUAGUACGGAAUAAUUGUUGGAAACGGCAACUAAUACCGUAUACGCCCUACGGGGGAAAAAUUUAUUGCUAUUAGAUGAGCCUAUAUUAGAUUAGCUAGUUGGUGGAGUAAUAGCCUACCAAGGCAAUGAUCUAUAGCUGAUCUGAGAGGAUGAUCAGCCACACUGGAACUGAGAUACGGUCCAGACUCCUACGGGAGGCAGCAGUGGGGAAUAUUGGACAAUGGGCGAAAGCCUGAUCCAGCCAUGCCGCAUGAGUGAAGAAGGCCUUUGGGUUGUAAAGCUCUUUUAGUGAGGAAGAUAAUGACGGUACUCACAGAAGAAGUCCUGGCUAACUCCGUGCCAGCAGCCGCGGUAAUACGGAGAGGGCUAGCGUUAUUCGGAAUUAUUGGGCGUAAAGGGCGCGUAGGCGGAUUAGUAAGUUAAAAGUGAAAUCCCAAGGCUCAACCUUGGAAUUGCUUUUAAAACUGCUAAUCUAGAGAUUGAAAGAGGAUAGAGGAAUUCCUAGUGUAGAGGUGAAAUUCGUAAAUAUUAGGAGGAACACCAGUGGCGAAGGCGUCUAUCUGGUUCAAAUCUGACGCUGAGGCGCGAAGGCGUGGGGAGCAAACAGGAUUAGAUACCCUGGUAGUCCACGCUGUAAACGAUGAAUGUUAAAUAUGGGAAGUUUUACUUUCUGUAUUACAGCUAACGCGUUAAACAUUCCGCCUGGGGA